UUUUGGACAAAGGGGGAAAGCCCGAUCCCCCAAAACCGCGUGUGGGAAAAAGGCGCUCGGGGGGUAAACCACUUUUGUACCGAGGGAAAAACUGUGGCUUUAUCCGGGGGGUUCAUGACGGUACCGUAAGAAUAAGCACCGGCUAACUACGUGCCAGCAGCCGCGGUAAUACGUAGGGUGCGAGCGUUAAUCGGAAUUACUGGGCGUAAAGCGUGCGCAGGCGGUUAUAUAAGACAGGUGUGAAAUCCCCGGGCUCAACCUGGGAAUUGCAUCUGUUACUGUAUAGCUAGAGUACGGUAGAGGGGGGUGGAAUUCCGCGUGUAGCAGUGAAAUGCGUAGAUAUGCGGAGGAACACCAAUGGCGAAGGCAACCCCCUGGGAUAUGUACUGACGCUCAUGCACGAAA
Molecule: ribosomal RNA, 405 nt
Filed under: uncultured bacterium
Lineage: Bacteria
Description: partial 16S ribosomal RNA
Rfam family: Bacterial small subunit ribosomal RNA
Source: RNAcentral